RNAcentral lists this ribosomal RNA (400 nucleotides) under uncultured bacterium. RNAcentral describes it as "bacterial SSU rRNA". It matches the Rfam family "Bacterial small subunit ribosomal RNA", at positions 216 to 631 of the family's 1533-position model. The record is from RNAcentral.
CGCAGAAGGAGGGGCCCGCGUCAGAUUAGCUUGUUGGUGGGGUAAUGGCCUACCAAGGCGAUGAUCUGUAGCUGGUCUGAGAGGAUGAUCAGCCACACUGGGACUGAGACACGGCCCAGACUCCUACGGGAGGCAGCAGUGGGGAAUAUUGGACAAUGGGCGAAAGCCUGAUCCAGCAAUGCCGCGUGAGUGAUGAAGGCCUUAGGGUUGUAAAGCUCUUUCGCACGCGACGAUGAUGACGGUAGCCGUGAGAAGAAGCCCCGGCUAACUUCGUGCCAGCAGCCGCGGUAAUACGAAGGGGGCUAGCGUUGUUCGGAAUUACUGGGCGUAAAGGGCGCGUAGGCGGUUUAUCAAGUCAGGCGUGAAAGCCCCGGGCUCAACCUGGGAAUUUGCGUUUGAU